ACACACACGCACGCACACAGACCAUGUAUUUCUUUUGUUUGGUUUGGUUUGCUCAAACUCCUCGCCUGGUCACCACAACCUGAGGCGGUGCUUGACUGUGUCGUAGGUGUGAGAGAGAGAGAGAGAGAGAGAGAGAGAGAGAGAGAGAGAGAGAGAGAGAGAGAGAGAGAGUGAGAGAGAGAGAGAGAGAGAGAGAGAGAGAGAGAGGGACGCUUGAAAAAGGUGAAAUCUUUCACCUUGGCAACUUUCUAAGACAUCAAAGAUUCCUUUGAUCUGUGACCACUGACACUGUUACUCGUUCCAUCGAUGAAGGCUACCAUUGGCAAAGAAGAGGUCCCGCUGUGUCCUGGGACGUUUUAAUCCUCUGAGGACUGUUUGGACGAACAUGGCCGACACGUUGAGGAGACUGACCAGCACCUCCUCGUUCAGCGUCUUGCAGGACAAGCUGGAGAGCUGGCACAAAGAUUACCAUGUCAUUUCCUGUGACCAGAAUCUGAACAAAUGUUGUGAGCUGAUUGAAAUAACCGCCAAGAUCCAGGGCCAACUGUUUACUAUCCUCAACCUCACAGCUGCUGAGGGUGGACACUACGCUGGAGUGGACACUCUCAAAACACGCCUGCUGCCGUGGCUUGGGACCUGUUUCUCCAUGGCAAAGCCCUCAGUCCCUGAUGACACCAGUCUACAGCUCAUCCAGGACUCGGUGGAAAAGGACAGGAGGAUCAGGGAGCUCUCUGCCUCUCAUGACAAUGACAUGCAGAAGAUGGAGACUCAGCUGUGCUCCACUCGCUUUCAGCUGGUCUCCGUCAGAGCAGAACUGGUUGAUGCUCACAAGGACCUGGAUGAGACAAAGAGCAGAUCAGCAACUACUCUGCUGGCCACUGAAGAUGAAAUAUUGCAACUGAAAGCAGAUUUGCGAUCCGCACACGAGCAGGUGGAGAUUUACAAGAGGAAGCUGAUGGCUCUUGAUGACGAUAAUCGUCAGAUUCGCUUGCUGAGAGAUGAAGUGUCCUACCUGAGCACGGAGAAGGCCAUGCUGCAGGAGAGGCUGGUGAGAAGUCGUUCUCCGAGCCCUUUGCCCAGACUCAGCCGCUCCUCCAGCCCCAUGAGGAGUGAGUCACCCACCAGAGCCCAGCUCACCAACUCCUCCCGCCACGCACGCCUCGUGUCUCGCUUUAGCGACCUGUAUGCUGGGGAGCGUCUGGAGGCCCAGAGCCUGCUUCGACGCUACAUCGCUGAUUUAGAGAUGGUCCAGAAAAUCAUCUUCAUUGCUGUAGUGGAAUCCUUCAAGACAGCAAAACUAGCUUUCCGCCAGUUAAAGCUGCGUGUAAGAAAGACCUUGUCCCCAUCCCACUUUGGACCAGAAAGUCUGGAAGACGCAGCCGUGGACUACAUUGUCAGAAACGUGGAGCUAUAUGAUGUACAGGACAGCGUCGAGGGCGUGAUCAACUCCAUGAACGUGAAUCCCCGCAUUUCCUUCCCGCCAGAGGUGGACUUUGUCCUCAUCAGUACAUUGAUCAGGGAGACGUGCAGGGUGGCCUUCGCCAUGCAGACUCUGGACCCCGCGCUUGACAUGGCCUUCGCCUGUGAUGGAGAAUUUUACAAUGACAUUAAGUAUCGCCGCAGCUAUGACUCUGAGUUCACUGCUCCUCUGGUGAUGUACCACGUGUGGCCAGCCUUGAUGGAAGGAAACUCCGUCAUAGUGAAGGGCGAGGCAGUGACCAGAAGAGGGGCUCCGUGGAGUAGAAGCCAGAACCAGAGCAGGAGCACCAGCCCUGUGCGCUCUCGCUCUCUCAGCCCAACUCGCAGUCUUGUAAGUCUCUAUAAUAAUUGAGAGUGCAACAAACCACACUGGAGGACAGGCGCAGUUGCUGGUUUUGGUAUUACAUGUUUCAUUGGGCUUAAAGAUACAAAAAUGUAUAAUUCAAAUGUAUCAUUUUCCACUUAAUAACUUGUAUGCACAUCAAUGGCCCUAAGGGCAUUUAACAGCAGGAGAAUCCUGUCACCUGAUCGUCUCUCAGCCAGCUACCUGUGAACUCUCCUUCAACCGGACCGGGGUCCACACCUUCAUGUCUGACAUAUUCUAAAUUCUGUUUCAUCCGUGGGGUAACGCCUACGUCUGCUUCCACCAAAUACAGCAAUUUAAAUCUCAGACACUGAGCUGGACCAACCAAAGGCUGUUUAGAGUUUACAUGGUCAGGGGACAGUUUUAUGGGACACUGACACUAACACUGACACUAUGAGGCCAGUACAUUGUAGAUGAGGUAAAAGAGGAUGGCAGCUAAAUUAACUGUUGUCUUGAGUGUGUUAUAUUCAGUGUGUGACUAGAGGUUAUUGAUAGAAACUAACAGUGUUUUUUAGUGGUCGUGAGACAUUUAAAGUUGUUUUUUUUCGGAGGAAGACUCGACCUGCACAGUAGCACUUUCGUAGUCUGACAGCGAACUAUAGCACCACAAUGCAUAGAGCAUGUGACGUGUAUGAUUAUUUUUCUUUUUUACAUAGCAGAACACUUUGGGUAUGCAGCAGGACGUACAGUAUGGUGCUAAUGAUCUGUGCUAACUUCCACUCCUCCAGUACUCUAUGGACAUUGCUUUCUUUAGUCCCCCCUUUAUAUUUUGGUGCUGUUACUUUAUAUCGAGUUCUGAUAUGAAUAAUUAGAGAUAGUUAUGUAGAAUAUGAUUAGUUAUUUGCAGCAAUGUCUAAAUGCAUUCAAUAUGACAUUCUAUUUAUUUCUCCUAGUUUACAUCCCAUGUAUUGUAUAUACAUCACCAGGUACAUUCACAUAUCUGAUACUUCUGUACUUGAUUUGCCUGUUAAUGACUUGACUUUACAAACCAUAGUAGAUUAUUCAUUUUGAUUUAACUUGUGGUGUGUGAUGAGUAUAUUCUUUGACUGUGCCUUAUAUGAUUAUUAUAAUUUUUUUAAUAAAUGACAAAAUGUUUAGUUUCCUGCAGCUCAGUUUGUUUUCAGUUUUUUGCUGAAUGUGUUUUAUUUACUACAUCAGUUUUUAGCAGCCGUACCAGCAGUGCAGUGUUGGUAAGGCAUGAUGAUGCAUCUUGAUCAAUUACAACAGAACACAAAUUUAGAAAUAAAACUUUUUAAAUCUC
This is an RNA transcript of Hippoglossus stenolepis (Pacific halibut), 3104 nucleotides long. It is a transcript of the gene named spermatogenesis associated 18, with no coding region annotated. Lineage: Eukaryota; Metazoa; Chordata; Actinopteri; Pleuronectiformes; Pleuronectidae. The transcript is spliced from 12 exons. The record is from RefSeq and is a predicted model, not a curated record.